Molecule: ribosomal RNA, 370 nt
Filed under: uncultured bacterium
Lineage: Bacteria
Description: bacterial SSU rRNA
Rfam family: Bacterial small subunit ribosomal RNA
Source: RNAcentral
GUUUGAUCCUGGCUCAGAUUGAACGCUGGCGGCAUGCUUUACACAUGCAAGUCGAACGGUAACAGGGAGCUUGCUCCGCUGACGAGUGGCGAACGGGUGAGUAAUGCAUCGGAACGUGCCUAUUUGUGGGGGAUAACGUAGCGAAAGUUACGCUAAUACCGCAUACGCCCUGAGGGGGAAAGCGGGGGAUUCGUAAGAACCUCGCGCAAUUAGAGCGGCCGAUGUCGGAUUAGCUAGUUGGUGGGGUAAAGGCUCACCAAGGCGACGAUCCGUAGCGGGUCUGAGAGGAUGAUCCGCCACACUGGGACUGAGACACGGCCCAGACUCCUACGGGAGGCAGCAGUGGGGAAUUUUGGACAAUGGGCGAAAG